Molecule: ribosomal RNA, 256 nt
Filed under: uncultured bacterium
Lineage: Bacteria
Description: partial 16S ribosomal RNA
Rfam family: Bacterial small subunit ribosomal RNA
Source: RNAcentral
UACGGAAGGGGCAAGCGUUGUUCGGAAUCAUUGGGCGUAAAGGGCGCGUAGGUGGUUCUGUAUGUCUACCGUGAAAGCGUACGGCUCAACCGUAUUUUGUCGGUGGAAACUGCAGGACUUGAGGCUUGGGAGGGGCUGGUGGAAUUCCCUGUGUAGCGGUGAAAUGCGUAGAGAUGGGGGAGAACACUCGUGGCGAAGGCGGCCAGCUAGACCAGUUCUGACACUGAGGCGCGACAGCGUGGGGGAGCAAAACAGG